GGUGGCAACAACUUCUGAUAAACAGACUUGUAGGUUAUGAUACUAUUUUGAUGAAUAGUUUGUUGAAUGCUCUUGGUCAAGGUAUUUUAUAUUUGACCUAUCAUGUAUUGGUUAAUUGUAGAGCGAUUUAGAUCACAUAUAAGAUUGAACAAAAACUGCAGUCUCUAAUCUACAUCUUAAUUCUUUCAAUAACUCUGCUGGUUGGUAGUAACUUUAUAUUAUUAAUGUUUCUUAUUUUAGGAUGUGUCAAUUUGUUAGUGAACUCCUCUUUUAUCAAACGGUAUUCUCUAAGAGCAGUUCUUCAAGUACAUCAAAAUUUUAGAUCUGUAUUCACAGGUACAGAUAGACAUGAUUUAAAUGCUACUUUAUUUACAACCCAGGUUGUCAUUGAUAUAGUCUUGAAUCAGAAUAGGCUAGCACUCAUAGUUAGCAGUACAAGCUGGUGAGUUCUUACUAAACUAGCUGCUCAUUAUAUAUAUGUGUUAUGUAUGAGCUCUGUGUUUGUAGUACUGAUUUCGAGGUGAAUAUAACCUUUAUAUUUUUGGUGUUUGUUAUUUGCUCUAUUUUAUUCUAGUGUUGCAUCAUUCAAUUUUGGGAUUGCAUUUGAUCAUAUAUGUAUUUGAUCAUAUACCAUUGCAUUGCAUUUGAUCAUAUAUGUACAUGGUUGCAUACUGUGAAUUGAGAAAUUUAUGUCUAUGUAUUCUAAAUUUUGGGAUAGUUCUAGUGGCUGUCUUGUCUACAUUUGCCUGGAAAUAUUCAGCACCGGAUGUUUAUGCUGCACUUUGGUCAACUCAAAAUUGUUCCCUGUACCUACCUAGACCAGAUCACUUAAGCUUGUUCAUCCCUGUCAGAUCAAAAUCUUUCCUUUACCACUCUCAGGGUGACUUGCUGCUAUCUGCAAAUCCUCUUCAAGCAUCCGUGAUAAAUAUACUUGAUAACUGAUAUACUUUUCCUGCAGAAACAUAACUACAAUGCAUAUGUUUCGGAUUUGGUUAUUUGCCUUUCCAAAAUGAUUUGAUUAAUGCUGCUUUUAUUUUGAAUAUAACUCAAAACUAUUCAUCCAGAGUAACAAUAUAUUUACAGUGACUGAAGCAAUGAAUUUUAUUGCAUCAUGCAUAUCAGGAUUACAGCUUGACGUAAAGUAUUUUUGCAUACAACAUAUUGAUAUAAGCUCAUACGUUACAUUGGCCUAGGCAACUGUGCAAUUGCGCACCUUCUGUAAGUUCACUCCUUUCCGUCCACCUAUAAAGGUUAUCUACAGCAACUGCCACCUAUAAAGGUUAUCUACACCUUUCCGUCCACCUGUUGUAAGUUCACACCUUUCCGUCCACCUAUAAAGGUUAUCCACACCUUUCCGUCCACCUAUAAACUUACACAGGUGUGCAAUUGCCCUUAUAAGGGCAAUUUUUGGUUUUAAAUACAUAUGAAAAAAUGUUAUCUAUUUA
RNAcentral lists this long non-coding RNA (1445 nucleotides) under Panax ginseng (ginseng). RNAcentral's name for it is "long non-coding RNA (PGIN_LNC008441)". The record is from RNAcentral. Lineage: Eukaryota; Viridiplantae; Streptophyta; Magnoliopsida; Apiales; Araliaceae.